AUUGAACGCUGGCGGCAGGCCUAACACAUGCAGGUCGAGCGGAUGAAGGGAGCUUGCUCCUGGAUUCAGCGGCGGACGGGCGAGUAAUGCCUAGGAAUCUGCCUGGUAGUGGGGGCUAACGUCCGGACACGGGCGCUAAUACCGCAUACGUCCUGAGGGAGAAAGUGGGGGAUCUUCGGACCUCACGCUAUCAGAUGAGCCUAGGUUGGAUUAGCUAGUUGGUGGGGUAAAGGCCUACCAAGACGACGAUCCGUAACUGGUCUGAGAGGAUGAUCAGCCACACUGGAACUGAGACACGGUCCAGACUCCUACGGGAGGCAGCAGUGGGGAAUAUUGGACAAUGGGCGAAAGCCUGAUCCAGCCAUGCCGCGUGUGUGAAGAAGGUCUUCGGAUUGUAAAGCACUUUAAGUUGGGAGGAAGAGCAGUAAGUUAAUACCUGGCUGUUUUGACGUUACCAACAGAAUAAGCACCGGCUAACUUCGUG
RNAcentral lists this ribosomal RNA (484 nucleotides) under uncultured bacterium. RNAcentral's name for it is "partial 16S ribosomal RNA". It matches the Rfam family "Bacterial small subunit ribosomal RNA", at positions 30 to 507 of the family's 1533-position model. The record is from RNAcentral.